Small nuclear RNA from Stegodyphus dumicola, 107 nucleotides. The record is from RefSeq and is a predicted model, not a curated record. Lineage: Eukaryota; Metazoa; Arthropoda; Arachnida; Araneae; Eresidae.
GUACUUGCUUCUCCAGUACAUAUAUUAAAAUUAGAAUGAUAUAGAGAAGAUUAGCAAAGGCUUUGCGCAAAGAUGUUAACACAUGAAUGGCUAUUUCAAUAUUUUUU